GGCUUCCCUGGCGGCUUCCACCGCGGCUAUGUCAGAAAUCCUUGGAAACCCCGUUAACCUCAGAUGCGCAACCAGGUCUGCUCCAUCACCAACUACACCUGCCACCUUCAAGACCGUCGCACUUUUCUCCAAGAAGAAGCCAGCUCCACCUCCAAAGAAAAAGCCUGCCGCUGUAUCCCCCGCCAAUGAGGAACUCGCCAAGUGGUAUGGUGAGUCACUCUCCAACUCCAAUAAUGGCCAUUUGUUUCUACACAUUUUCGUUUUCUUUUCUUUACAAUGAAUACAUAGUGUUUUAUAUUUAAUGUUAUAUCAUCCAUUUGUUUCAUGAUGAAGUAUUAGCUAACAUGAUUUUAGGUAAAUGUUCUCAUGUUUAGUUUCACAGUGAGAAAUU
This 391-nucleotide long non-coding RNA is filed under the name Glycine max (soybean). RNAcentral describes it as "long non-coding RNA (GMAX_LNC002289)". The record is from RNAcentral. Lineage: Eukaryota; Viridiplantae; Streptophyta; Magnoliopsida; Fabales; Fabaceae.